Molecule: long non-coding RNA, 1740 nt
Organism: Oncorhynchus gorbuscha (pink salmon)
Lineage: Eukaryota; Metazoa; Chordata; Actinopteri; Salmoniformes; Salmonidae
Exons: 3
Source: RefSeq, a predicted model, not a curated record
AGGAGCAGUAGAGACCUCGUCUGUUCAUUAUAUACAUCUACAUGAUGUAUUGAUACACCAUGAAGGAGCAGUAUAGACCUAGUCUGUUCAUUAUAUACAUCUACAUGAUGUAUUGUUACACCAUGUAGGAGCAGCAUAGACCUACACUAGCUAGCUACUUAUUUAGAUUUAGUUUGACUUAAUGAAACUUCCUUAAAUGUGCUGUAGUAAACAUUGUUAUAUUCGCACUAAUCAAACAACACAUUCAAGUCUUUUGUAUGUCUCAAUAUAAUAGUAUUAUUUAAUUAAAUCAAUUUAAAAAUAAUCUUUGUCUGAAAAUAAAAUAUGAUCGUCAACUGCGUUUCCCCUCCAGUCAGCAGACGGCGAUGUGUGUCUAUAAUCUAGUGGACGGUUCUUCAGAAACCUCCGUAGCUUGCUAGCCAACAUAGCCGAAAGAUUCAAGCUAUUUAUACGCUUUCGAUGUAUAUUAGCUACUGUGUUUUAGACACACUUCUGUCGUAUCUACUUGUUAACCUAUUUAAUAUUACGUUAUUUUGUAUUAGUCAGCUAUAGUAGCUGGCUGGUUAAGUUAGCACUAGCCUAGUCGCUAAUGAUAGCUAGCUAACACCCCCCGACCAUGAGCUCUCUAAACUGCUGGACGGAGAAAGAAGCUCAGGGGCUGAACAUUGUUGUGAAAAAGUUGGAGGAGGAGGAUGUCACAGUAAAACAAGUGGAGGGUGAGGUUGUUCCAGUGGAAGAAGAAGAGAAAGACGAAAGAAGAGGAAGAUGCUGAUUUUGGAGUGAAGAAUGAUGGGGAGAUUACUGUCACAUUGAAAGAUGAAGAGGUGGAGAUAGGAGAUCUGAUUCACACCAGGGCAGUCAAGAAAUGGAACAGCAAGACCACAGAACAUAACAUAAGCAGAGCUGUGGGAGACCACCUCAAGCCCCUGGAGGAGCUCUGAAAGACACUAUGGGGGUGUCCACGGAAGGUUGACUAGUAACAACAACUGGGACCUAAAAGACACCCACCAUGAGACCCACUAGAAUCUGCCCAAGAAGAGGCAAACAAAAGAAAAACCCACACCAAACUUAAAGAAAGGAAGCAAACCAAAAAGUGGAGCUACUAAAGGUGUUGACUCUCCACAUCUAUCAAGACAACUGGAGCACUGGGCCAGACCCUCUUAAAUAGAACCUGGACCUGCUCACCACCAGUUAACUGAAUGGUGAGGCAUGGAAUAAUAAAACAUGUAUCUUUUGUCAGGCUGAUUGUUUGAAAUAUGAGGUGAUUUGAAACGUGCUUCUUCAGUUGUGGAAUAAAGACAAUUAGCACUUGAAUGUUGUCAAGAAAUGCUGGAGUGAUGUAGGAUUGUCAAUGUCAAAACAAAACACAGGUUUAACGUUUCCAAAUCAAUAACCAAUAUGUAGAAACAGUUUGGGAUAUAUUGAAAACCUAAACAUUUUGAAGUGUUGCAUUUUGAUUCAAGUGGGUCACCAACAUGUUAAAUGUAACAGAACUCUUUUUUUGUUAGUCACUUUUUGAUAAAUCUCAUAAAUAGUACUCUUUAAAUUCAGAGCCUGGAUUUUUUUCUCCCAGAGGCUAAUAUCCAUCUCAAGCUGAAAUCAAUAGAACAGGGGACAAACGUUUAGGGUUCUACAUUGUGACAUCAUUAAAAUACUCCUAAUACAAUGUUAAAACAUUCUACAUUGUGACAUUAAUUCAUUGAUAUUUCAUUGGGGCGGCAGGGUAGCCAAGUGGAUAGA